UUAAGUUAAUAAGGGCGCACGGUGGAUGCCUUGGCACUAGAAGCCGAUGAAGGACGUGACUAACGACGAAAUGCUUUGGGGAGCUGUAAGUGAGCAAUGAUCCAGAGAUGUCCGAAUGGGGGAACCCGGCAGGUAAUGCCUGUCACUCAUUACUGUUAAGGUAAUGUAGAGGAAGACGCAGUGAACUGAAACAUCUAAGUAGCUGCAGGAAGAGAAAGCAAAAGCGAUUGCCUUAGUAGCGGCGAGCGAAACGGCAAGAGGGCAAACCGAAGAGUUUACUCUUCGGGGUUGUAGGACUGCAACGUGGACUUAAAGAUUAUAGAAGAACUACCUGGGAAGGUAGGCCAAAGAGAGUAAUAGCCUCGUAUUCGAAAUAGUCUUUAUACCUAGCAGUAUCCUGAGUACGGCGAGACACGAGAAAUCUCGUCGGAAUCUGGGAGGACCAUCUCCCAACCCUAAAUACUCUCUAGUGACCGAUAGUGAACCAGUACCGUGAGGGAAAGGUGAAAAGCACCCCGGGAGGGGAGUGAAAUAGAACCUGAAACCGUGUGCCUACAACAAGUUCGAGCCCGUUAAUGGGUGAGAGCGUGCCUUUUGUAGAAUGAACCGGCGAGUUACGAUAUGAUGCGAGGUUAAGUUGAAGAGACGGAGCCGUAGGGAAACCGAGUCUUAAUAGGGCGUAUUAGUAUCAUGUCGUAGACCCGAAACCAUGUGACCUACCCAUGAGCAGGUUGAAGGUGAGGUAAAACUCACUGGAGGACCGAACCAGGGCACGUUGAAAAGUGCUUGGAUGACUUGUGGGUAGCGGAGAAAUUCCAAACGAACUUGGAGAUAGCUGGUUCUCUCCGAAAUAGCUUUAGGGCUAGCGUCGAUGUUAAGUCUCUUGGAGGUAGAGCACUGUUUGGGUGAGGGGUCCAUCCCGGAUUACCAAUCUCAGAUAAACUCCGAAUGCCAACGAGAUAUAAUCGGCAGUCAGACUGCGAGUGCUAAGAUCCGUAGUCGAAAGGGAAACAGCCCAGACCACCAGCUAAGGUCCCAAAAUAUAUGUUAAGUGGAAAAGGAUGUGGGGUUGCACAGACAACUAGGAUGUUAGCUUAGAAGCAGCUAUUCAUUCAAAGAGUGCGUAAUAGCUCACUAGUCGAGUGACCCUGCGCCGAAAAUGUACCGGGGCUAAAACAUAUUACCGAAGCUGUGGAUACCUUUAUAGGUAUGGUAGGAGAGCGUUCUAUGUGCGAAGAAGGUGUACCGUGAGGAGUGCUGGAGCGCAUAGAAGUGAGAAUGCCGGUAUGAGUAGCGAAAGACAGGUGAGAAUCCUGUCCACCGUAAGACUAAGGUUUCCAGGGGAAGGCUCGUCCGCCCUGGGUUAGUCGGGACCUAAGGAGAGACCGAAAGGUGUAUCCGAUGGACAACAGGUUGAUAUUCCUGUACUAGAGUAUAUAGUGAUGGAGGGACGCAGUAGGCUAACUAAACCAGACGAUUGGAAGUGUCUGGCCAAGCAGUGAGGUGUGAUAUGAGUCAAAUGCUUAUAUCUAUAACAUUGAGCUGUGAUGGGGAGCGAAGUUUAGUAGCGAAGUUAGUGAUGUCACACUGCCGAGAAAAGCUUCUAGCGUUAAUUAUACUCUACCCGUACCGCAAACCGACACAGGUAGUCGAGGCGAGUAGCCUCAGGUGAGCGAGAGAACUCUCGUUAAGGAACUCGGCAAAAUGGCCCCGUAACUUCGGGAGAAGGGGCGCUGACUUAUGGUCAGCCGCAGUGAAUAGGCCCAAGCAACUGUUUAUCAAAAACACAGCUCUCUGCUAAAACGUAAGAUGAUGUAUAGGGGGUGACGCCUGCCCGGUGCUGGAAGGUUAAGAGGAGUGCUUAGCAAUAGCGAAGGUAUGAAUUGAAGCCCCAGUAAACGGCGGCCGUAACUAUAACGGUCCUAAGGUAGCGAAAUUCCUUGUCGGGUAAGUUCCGACCCGCACGAAAGGCGUAAUGAUUUGGGCACUGUCUCAACGAGAGACUCGGUGAAAUUUUAGUACCUGUGAAGAUGCAGGUUACCCGCGACAGGACGGAAAGACCCCAUGGAGCUUUACUGCAGUUUGAUAUUGAGUAUCUGUACCACAUGUACAGGAUAGGUUGGAGCCUAUGACCUCGGGACGCCAGUUUCGAGUGAGGCGUUGUUGGGAUACUACCCUUG
RNAcentral lists this ribosomal RNA (2180 nucleotides) under human gut metagenome. Its description in RNAcentral is "bacterial LSU rRNA". It matches the Rfam family "Bacterial large subunit ribosomal RNA", at positions 3 to 2208 of the family's 2925-position model. The record is from RNAcentral.